RNAcentral lists this ribosomal RNA (465 nucleotides) under Vreelandella stevensii. RNAcentral describes it as "partial 16S ribosomal RNA". It matches the Rfam family "Bacterial small subunit ribosomal RNA", at positions 338 to 795 of the family's 1533-position model. The record is from RNAcentral. Lineage: Bacteria; Pseudomonadati; Pseudomonadota; Gammaproteobacteria; Oceanospirillales; Halomonadaceae.
CCUACGGGGGGCUGCAGUGGGGAAUAUUGGACAAUGGGGGCAACCCUGAUCCAGCCAUGCCGCGUGUGUGAAGAAGGCCCUCGGGUUGUAAAGCACUUUCAGUGAGGAAGAACGCCUGGUGGUUAAUACCCAUCAGGAAAGACAUCACUCACAGAAGAAGCACCGGCUAACUCCGUGCCAGCAGCCGCGGUAAUACGGAGGGUGCGAGCGUUAAUCGGAAUUACUGGGCGUAAAGCGCGCGUAGGUGGCUUGAUAAGCCGGUUGUGAAAGCCCCGGGCUCAACCUGGGAACGGCAUCCGGAACUGUCAAGCUAGAGUGCAGGAGAGGAAGGUAGAAUUCCCGGUGUAGCGGUGAAAUGCGUAGAGAUCGGGAGGAAUACCAGUGGCGAAGGCGGCCUUCUGGACUGACACUGACACUGGGGUGCGAAAGCGUGGGUAGCAAACAGGAUGAGAUACCCCAGUAGUC